GACGAACGCUGGCGGCGUGCUUAAUACAUGCAAGUCGAACGGACAGACGCGGAUUUUGUGGGGUUCACGAGUUGCGCGCGGGUGAGUGACACGUGUGUAUACUGUCCUUGACAUUGGGAUAAAUUCAGGGAAAUGCGGAUCAUACCGCGUAGGAGAUACUGCUGCGUGGUGGGGGUUGGUAAGUGUCGGCGGUUGGGUCUGGAUUCGCUGCUUAUCCGCUUCAUGGUGGAGUAGUGGCUUACCAGGGCUUUGACGGGUAGCCGGCCUGAGAGCGUGACCGGCCACAUGGGGACUGAGAGACGGCGCAGACGCCUACGUGAGGCAGCAGUGGGGAACAUUGCACAAUAGGCCGAAGCCUGAUGCAGCGACGCCGCGUUCGUGAUGAUGUCCUUCUGGGUAUAAACCGCUUUCUCCGUUGCCGUAGCCUUAUUGACGGUAAUUGGUAAAGAAGCACCGGCUAACUACGUG
RNAcentral lists this ribosomal RNA (468 nucleotides) under uncultured bacterium. RNAcentral describes it as "partial 16S ribosomal RNA". It matches the Rfam family "Bacterial small subunit ribosomal RNA", at positions 28 to 507 of the family's 1533-position model. The record is from RNAcentral.